This 523-nucleotide ribosomal RNA is filed under the name uncultured bacterium. RNAcentral's name for it is "partial 16S ribosomal RNA". It matches the Rfam family "Bacterial small subunit ribosomal RNA", at positions 355 to 893 of the family's 1533-position model. The record is from RNAcentral.
AGGGGAAUAUUGCACAAUGGGCGAAAGCCUGAUGCAGCAACGCCGCGUGAGUGAUGAAGGCCUUCGGGUUGUAAAGCUCUGUCUUUUGGGACGAUAAUGACGGUACCAAAGGAGGAAGCCACGGCUAACUACGUGCCAGCAGCCGCGGUAAUACGUAGGUGGCAAGCGUUGUCCGGAUUUACUGGGCGUAAAGGAUGCGUAGGCGGAUUUUUAAGUGAGAUGUGAAAUACCCGGGCUUAACUUGGGUGCUGCAUUUCAAACUGGGAAUCUAGAGUGCGGGAGAGGAGAAUGGAAUUUCCUAGUGUAGCGGUGAAAUGCGUAGAGAUUAGGAAGAACACCAGUGGCGAAGGCGAUUCUCUGGACCGUAACUGACGCUGAGGCAUGAAAGCGUGGGUAGCAAACAGGAUUAGAUACCCUGGUAGUCCACGCCGUAAACGAUGAGUACUAGGUGUAGGAGGUAUCGACCCCUUCUGUGCCGCAGUUAACACAAUAAGUACUCCGCCUGGGAAGUACGAUCGCAAGA